Molecule: unclassified non-coding RNA, 8204 nt
Filed under: Leishmania donovani
Lineage: Eukaryota; Euglenozoa; Kinetoplastea; Trypanosomatida; Trypanosomatidae
Description: gene:LdHU3.28.2430(CDS-product:hypothetical_prote in_conserved)
Source: RNAcentral
GUGCGCAAGGACUCACGUUUCCUUUGCGUUGUCUGCUUGCCCUACCGGCCCCCUCAUUUCCCAGCCACUGCUGCUGCUGCUGCCACACUUGCAGCAGCAGCACCUGUGAAAGCGCUGGCUGCAGCAGAACAGAUGCGCACGGCGAUAAACAUACACGCGCAGACCGACCCACUCUCCACACAGCCUGUAGGAGCUUGCAGGCUUCACCAGCACACGCACACGUGCAACAAUACGCGAUACGCAGAGGACGAUCUUUUCUCGAAGCAGCUUGGCGUCCAUGAGCAGAGCGAUGCUGCCGCCGUCCAACGUGUAUUCCUCCGUCAGCUUUCGCACGCCGGUGAGCGCCGCCGCCGUCAGCACCACUGAUCCACCAGGAUCGGCGGCGGCAGACUCCGCCUUUUCAAUGGUUCUGCCGCCGCCGCCGGCGCGACGCGGGAGACGAAUGCCGAAGGAUCUCGAGGGUAUCGCGUCCCGCUACCUGCAGCGACUCGGGAACACCUUCAUCUGUGGCGCAGGCAGAGGGAAGGGAGGCCGCCUGGACGAGUUGGCCGAUGACGUCGCCGCAGCCGAGGGAGAAUGUGCCGGCGGUUGCAAGGCGCCAUCCAUGCGCCCUCAACACAGCGCCCGCAGAGGCCUCUGUGCCAUGUCGCUGGCCUCCUCCCUCGCUGCCGGCGUUGUGGGCACCCGGCAGGACGGCGAGGCGGCGUCUACGACUGCUGCCAAUCGCCGGAGGCAUCGGCGCGUUACCUCUCUUGAGGUGCCCAACAACGGCGACUCUGCCUUUCCUCGUAGCUCCCCUUUAAUCCCUCCAAACACGGCACUGCCAAAGACUGACUCGGCGCAUGCUAGAAGCGGCGACGAUCCUUCGGUGAUGCCACGCUUGCACGUCUCGCAGGCGCCAGGUAGCGCUCAGCGACGUCGACACGGGGGCCCGGAUGCUUUGGCCGCAUCGCGGACAUCUGAAAACGCUCCGGGUGGGCUAACGGGUCACCUGCGCAGACGCGGUAGAGGGUGCACCAAUGAGCAUUUGCCACCCAGCGUCCCUCGCUUGUCGCGUCCCAAGAGCAGUUCAGGCAGCAGUACCUGCGGCAGCUCCCUCGCAAGCCUCGACACGAGCGAGCGAGGCACGAAGGUCACCGCAUCCCCGUCAGCGCGCUGUCGUGGAGGAAACCCAGCGGCGGGCGAGGUGGCCGCUCCAGAGGCAGGCUAUGCAGUGGCGAAGGCAGACUCAUUGGUGGCCGAGGCGGCCGAGUUGAUGGCGAGCGCCGUGCCCCCACGCCGAAAGCUUCGUGACGAAAACGAACGCGCCGCGCAGGUUCUUGCGCAGGAGCACUCGAAGAUUCUCUUGCUUGUGGGGCGCCGCGCCAACGCGGUAGCGGACAUUGAAGACUUGGUGGAGGUGGCCGACGCCGUGAGGGAGAAGACGCGGCAGGAGCGGCUGAACCUGCUGCCGAUGCCAGGGCCCCACGCUACAAGCGAUGUGGCGACAGCGCCUUCAGCGGGCGGAGCAAGCCCGCGUCACCAAGACAGAGGAGGUGGACAUGCCGCAGAUAGAGUGACCUCGGCGUCUUUGCUUGACCUGACCGCGGUGCGGUUUCAGCUGCACAAGCUGAGCAACGACCUCUUGUGCAACGGCAGCACCAACCUUGACGCCACGCAACUGCGCCAGCUCGUGUAUCAGUUGGACGACCAUGUGGACUCGGUGGAGGAGGUUCUCGAGGUGGAGGUGGGCGGUGUAGCAUCGACAGACGCAGAGACACAGCCGCUCCGCGGGACAGCAGGAGCCGCUGUCGACGCAGAGCCGCUGCCACGCCGAUCGCUGCGGCAGCGGCUGCAGGGCGCGAAGAAGGAGCAGAAGGACCUGCUCGAAGCCUCGUCUAACUUGCUACACAUGGUAUGGCUCAUGGAGAGCGUCGAUACGGAGCUUCUGACGGAUAUGCAGCAUCCCCAGCCAACGGAGACGCGCGAGAACCGGGCAACGGGCGCGGGGACGGUGGCCGGGGAACAGGCGCGCGGUGGGAUUCCGUUGACGGCGAAUGAGGAUACGGCCGCUGCAUUGAUGCGCUACACACGUUGCCAGCCCAUCCCCGGCGGCGCUUUAAACCGUUCACUGUCCACCUCCGCGACCAUCACGACGGCACGAGAGUGUGGUAAGGCGGAACCGGGUCCUCACGAACGCCAUCGCGCUUCCCUCGAGACAACGGUCAGCGAGCCCAGCAUGGUGCCGUUCUCCCUCACCGAUCUCACCGGUGGCAACAAAACAGGCUGUAUAAGCACGGCAACCCCGACGCCGGCUGCCGGCGGCCAGCAGCAGUGGCGGAAGGGCCCGAAGGACACCGGUGCUGUUCCAUCCACGUCUACCGCUCCCUCACAUCGGCUGAACUUGCUUCGCUUCAUGUCGGAGGUGCUUGCUCAGUACGAGUUGGAGCAUGUGGAUGCAGCGAAGCUGCGUAAGAACCGACCGCUCUCGGCGCCGUCGAUGCGGCUCCACCACCAAGUAGCGUCGCCAUCCACAGAGCGAGACUGCCAACAGGAGAUCAACGGAGCCGAGGAGGUGGAGGCAGGCCUCAAUGAUGCAUGCUCGCAGCCGAUGGAGGUGACCGCGGGGGAUGACCGGGCUCGGCGCAGUGCGGAUGGUAGCCUGUCAUGGGCACGGCGGCCUCCCUCGAGCACGCCAGGCGCCAUCGCCGCCACCGAUGGUGGCGUGCAGCCUUUAGAGGCAGACAGCCUGUGUGAGAAACACUGGCGCUCCUCUGAAGCAAUACAUCACCGACAGAACCGGCGUGGCAGUAGUACGAGUCAUGAUCAGAAGGUGCUGCUUGGUGCGCAGCUGCGCAACCUGCGCACUGGGUUGUUGCACGACCUGCAUGAACUGUGCACGACUCACAACUACGUGCGGCUCAUCGAAACCCGCCGACGGGAGCUGAACGAAGGUGCCGGCAAAGGCGACGCCGAGUACGCGGUCGAGAUGGAGCAGAAGCUGGCUGGGCAUCGUCUGCAACUUGAAGCGGCAAAACGCGCGCGCGAAGAAGCCGCGAGGCGUGAAAUGGAGGCGGCAGCGCUGGCGCAGGUGUGGGGACAGGAGGGCAACAGGCCUCGCACAGGGAGCGACAAGAGGUCUGUCACUUCUGGCGGCUCGCAGCGGACGGUUUCCACCGAGGAGGGCCACGGCAAGCCGCCCAGCAAUGCCGCAGCCCCGCGGUCGGCGUCGCCAAGAAGCGGUGCGCUUCAGCCUGACAAGAAGCCUUCAGCGACGACGCUUCUGUCUGGCGCGGCUGUGCAAAGUCGCCCGACUGCGGAGGAGGCGGUGGCCGCCGCGCCAGUGGAGACGGAGCUGCUGCGAGAGUACCUCGCGGACAAAGGCCUUGUCUUCACCGUUGUCGGAGUGAAGAGGAGCCCUCAAAAAUUCGCGGGGGACGGGGCUGCUGCGACGGAGGCGCACGCCGGCGCUGCAGCGACGCACCCCAAGAAGAAGAGUGGCUGCCGCGUAACUCUCGGUGAGGCUAAAGGACCUAAUCGCUAUCUCUACUACGAGCUUCGCGUGGAGAAGCCGCUAUCCGCUCCGCCGUUAGAAAGCCCGGGUUUCGACGGUGCCACCAGCGACGCCACUCCUGCACCUGCCUCGGCCAGUUCUAUGGCCGCGGUGGUGCAGGUGAACACACCUCGAUUGAUGAACCUGAGGAUGACGGUGGAGGCUGGGGCGGCAGUGGAGGAAGUGGCGAAAGGGCCGCUCGUGACAAUGAGAGUCACCUCUGGCGCCCCAGCUCGGCGGCUGCUCACCCUUACACCUGCGAAGCCCUGCAAAGCCGUCUCCUACGCACAGGCCUUCAUGUUUGGCGCAAUAGACGCUGCCCGCGGCAGAGAGCAACGGCGACGGUCCUCGCACGACAUGUGGGAGGCGAACUCGACGGCUUCUGCGACCUUCGCGCUUCCCACCGGCGACCAAAGUCGCCGCAGCGGGUCGCGCAGCUCGUCUCUGGACAGCCGCAAAGUUCGACCUGCCAAGCGGGCACCACUCACGACCUGUUCCGCGGCGUCUGGCGGCGGCGGGGCCUCGAGGCGGUCGAAGGAGAGUGUUGCUGGCAAGGACAGCAAGGAGCCGACGGGGGUGAAGGGGCCCGACGACGCAUCGAAGCGCCCUGGAGGACAGAGCCUUGAGAGGGCUCACACGCCAAGCGCAUCAGGACCGGUCACAGCGGCGGACAUUGAGACAGCGAAGAGGACGCCGAGGCAAGGCACGCUAGCAUCCCCGACGUCUCUUGCGGGAGUGGGAGCCGCCGAUGCAACUGCCACCGCGCUCACCGAAGCCUCGCCGAUGAAUAUCAAUGGCGUUUCCAACACGGCUUUGUCCGGCGCGGCGGCGGUGAUGCUGCAGCCGUCGUACGCCUCUCUCAAAGCGAGUCAGCCGUCACUGUCGACCCCGAGGCAUCUGCCUCACAGUCCGCCUCUCUCCUUCGUGCCACGCCCUGCCGACGAAUGGGGAGUGCCGCAUGCACACACGGAGAUGGAGGCGGUGGAGAAGAACGCGGUGAUAUUGACAGUGUUGCAGACCAGCGAUGAGGGCGACGCUGUCGGUGCGGCGCAGCCGCUGACGUUGGCGACGGAGGAAGAGGUGGCGGCUGCAAGAGCGUCGUCUGCAAAGUCGAAGAGCGAGUGUGGCGGGACCGGCGCGUCUGCCUCAGAGCAGGCGCGGGCGUCUGUGAACGACAGCGACAUUCUCAGCUUGAUGGAGGGGUGGCGAUUGUGUGGCGCCACCGCGUUCGCCAGAAAGGGUGCUGAGGGGCAGAGGAUGACGGAGAGCCCGUCCGCGGCCGAUGCCGGAGCUUCUUCUGUGGUGGACGCAAUCGCGACGGCGAUCCUGCGCCAGGCGAUGAUGGACGGUGCUGACGGCGAAGGCGAUGCUGCCGAAGGCAGCGUGGACGCGAGGGGAGGCUCUGUGAGGUCUGGCGGCUUCAGAGCCGGCGUGGGCGGGGAAGGAUUGACCGACCCCGCGCGGCUGGCGGCUGAGAAGGAAAUGGCCGCAUCGCACGUGCUUCACUCGCCAGCGCCCGUAGAGGAAGAGCAUCGCGGUGGCGCUUCUCGCACCGGCAGCCAUGCUCCACCGCUCUUCCCCGCCACUUUGAUCGACGCCCCCCAACUGUCGUCAUCCCCCCAAAAGAGGCAGGAGCAGCAUGGUGGAGGCGAGCAAACCGCCACCGGGCGAGUCUCAGGUGGGCGGUUCGUGCCGGAGGCCUCGACAUCCAGGGCGCACCUUGUCUCCGAGUCUGCAAGGUCGCCAUCGGCGAAACCGAGGACGAUGCCGCCGCCGUUGCUCAUCACCUCGCAGUCACGUCCCCUUCACUCCCUAGAGGUGGGGAGCCACGGCGGUGAAUGCAUUCGCUUCGACUUCCCUGACGACGGUGCCGCCGGCGCGCCGACCACGCCACCGCUGCCACUACUGUCGCCCGCGAACCCACAGCCGCCGCACAAAACACCUCGUAAGGCAAAGCCUGCUCACAGCUCUGCCACGAAGUCGCCCGCCGCACCGGCUGGCGCCGCCCGCACAUCACCAGCGCCGCCGCAGGGUAUCGAUCCGGUAAGCGACAGGGCGGAGCAGGAGGCGUUCGUGCCGCCACCGGUCGUGGUAGUGGAGCGGACGCCGGGCAGCGCAAAGCCGUACAUGCUGCUCCCACGUGAAGCCGCGGCAAGCUUGCUAGGCCCGUCGCUUCGCGACAUGGCGCGUGGGCGACCCGUCAGCAGCGGUACUGGAAGGCGCGCCGGUCUCGAUUCCGACACACGAGGGGGCGCCGCUGCCUUCCACAAGACGACGGACGCUGCUCCUGUUGCUUCGCUGUCGCCCCUGGCAGCGGCGCAUUCCGUGUUGCCCACAACCGGGGCUGCGGCAGCGGCAGCCGCUGAUACGGAGACUUUAUCGCACGUGCAGAAGUUCCUGCAAACCAUUAGUGACGAAUUCCCGCGUCACGGCGCGACUGGAGUCGGCGGCGUCGACCCGGCGGCAAACAAGCGCUCGCUGCAGGCGACAAAGGGUGCAGCCACGCUUGCGCUGCGUACGGAGCUGGACCAGCUGCAGGAAGAUGCUCGUGAGCUCUUCAUGAUGGACCCUGUGCGGUACGACACCGUGAUCUCGGAGCUGAUGGAGCAGGCUGCUCGCGCACUGCUGCAGGGGUCUGUCCACGCUGCAGCACCAUCACCGGCUGAGAAAGAAAGGGGUGGACCCGUGGCAGGUGCAGCGCCGGCCUUCUCCCACAGCAGCCCUUUGCCAGGGUUGCGCGGUGGAGAGUCUCAAGCAGGAGGCGGUGCUGACGGUUUGACCAAUACAGCCGAUCCCGCGACAGCCGCAUCCUUCACGCAUGAGAGACCUUUCUGCACAUCAGGUUCGGUUCCGCCAAUGCUUGAGCAGUUUAAAGCAUCAGAGGCGGAUGAGGAUGAGCGGGGCCGUGGUUCAGGCCUGGGCCUGCGUGCACCGCAGAUGAACCUCAGCAGCACCAUCACGACAAAACGAGGCAGCCAUAUUAACAGCGCAGGCGGUGGCGUGUCGGUGUUGUCGCCGCGGCCGUUGCAUGACGCGUUUGCAUCGACACGGAGCCGUCUCUCUCAAGCAGCGGUGGCAUCACCAGAAGACGGUGAUGGCGAUGUUGAGAAGCAGCGUCCUUCUAUGGCGUCGUUCCCGCCACAGCCAAAGGCGCAGCGGCGCCCAACGCACACACUUGUCAUGAGGGACGGCGCCAUUGACGAGGCAGCGAGGCAUCACCGCGCAUCUUGCGCAGACGCGGCCGCCGAGGUGGAGCGAAUUCUCUACGAGCAGAUGAAGGCCCAACUGCUGCUGCGAGCCAUCAUUGCCAAGAUGAAAGAGCUUUGGCACACGAAACAGCAGCACGCCGAGGCUAAAAACCGUGAGCGCCUCGCCAAACACAGACAGCGCUUGAUUAAGCGCGGCUUGGCUGCCGCUUGGCCGCUGGAGCACCAGCGCGUGCUCCAUCUCCAGAAGCUGAUCCACCUGCUCGAUCGCCGGGUCGGUCGCGCGCAUGGCUGGCUGCCGCACUAUUCCGACUCCAACGUGCUCAUGGACGCUCCCUCUCUGGUACCGUUGCCUCGCAGCACAGGCGGUGCAAUGCUUCCGGCUGCGUCAACCGGCACUCAUGCGCCCCUUGCAUCGUGGUAUCGGCAACGGGGCCAGAACACGCUCGGCGCCGCGCAGGAUGCCGAUGGCGUCUCGGAGGCGCACGUGUGUCCGCGGUACCUCCACUACCUUCCGCAGCGCCGCCUUUUCCGCUACAUGCGCCUGGCAAAGGGGCGGCGCGUGCUUCCUCUCCGGCUCGUGCGCGCUGACAUUCACAGGAGCCACAACCAGCAUCUCCUCCUCGGCUAUGACAGGAUCGCCCUGGAGGACGAAGGAGAGGACCAGGGCAGCUCAUACGAGGGCAGAACGUCGGAUGGCUGGCCGAAGCGAAAGCUGCCGCGGCGCCGUCGCGGACAGCCACACGAUCACGCUGCUCCCUUCCAGGAAAGCCGGUACGAGGACAUGAAAACACGCGGAGAACGUGAGCGCUACCUACGGCGCCUGCAGCGCACAGCGGCGUUCCAGAGCGUUUCUAAGAUGUACUCACCGCGAACGCGGCAGGAGGCCGAUUUUCCCUCCCCUUUCCACUGACGAUGUACUAUCUAGCCUUCCAUCGGCAGCAGACGCGCCAGUGCGUCUUGGUUGUUUCUUCGCUUGCGCGCACUUCUCAGCGCUUGCUGCGCCACGGGUGAUGCUUGACGGUGUGGCGCAGGAGUGCGUUUACACGUGCCUCUAUGUAUUGAUUGGCUGUCCGUCGGUGCGCUUGCCUGCCUCUGGGGGUGCCUGCGGGGAGAAUGUGCCUUCGGCAUGUGACAUUGCUUCUUGUUUUCUUGCUUUUCUGAUGGAACGCGCGUGUGCCAGCGGGGACGUAAGUGCUCGACGACGAAGGUGUGUCUGCGAUAUCACACGCCAGAUGCCCUUCCCUUACUUGUCUCUUUGUAUCGCUGCCUCUUUGAGAUUUCCUUGCACUUUUUUUGUUUUGUGUCUCUCCCCCUUCCCUCCCCCCAUAUGACCGGCGAGCCAACUCUCACGCACGCAUCAGCGAAAAGCCCAUAAAGAAAUGGGCAGCAGCACUGCUUAAUGCCACACACACACACACACACACACUUAUAUGUACACUACAUUGGAAUCAGCUACCACAACG